GUAUUGUAUUGGAGCAGAGGAAGGCUAAAUUAACCUAGAAGGAGUCACCAGUUCAUGCCAGUCACAGGCUUUGGCAAAGAGAAAAGAAAUCACUACAACAGUGAAACAAGAUUAAGAAAAGAUUUAACUAGCUGGGCCAGGGCUAGCAUUAAUCUGACCACCACUAUUUUGUCCUAUGAUUUGGAUUUAAUGGCUCAUGACAAUCGACCAC
RNAcentral lists this long non-coding RNA (211 nucleotides) under Elaeis guineensis (African oil palm). Its description in RNAcentral is "long non-coding RNA (EGUI_LNC020871)". Lineage: Eukaryota; Viridiplantae; Streptophyta; Magnoliopsida; Arecales; Arecaceae. The record is from RNAcentral.